RNAcentral lists this ribosomal RNA (253 nucleotides) under uncultured bacterium. RNAcentral's name for it is "partial 16S ribosomal RNA". It matches the Rfam family "Bacterial small subunit ribosomal RNA", at positions 524 to 776 of the family's 1533-position model. The record is from RNAcentral.
GACAGAGGGUGCAAACGUUGUUCGGAAUUACUGGGCGUAAAGCGCGUGUAGGCGGCCGGGUGUGUCGGAUGUGAAAUCCCGUGGCUCAACCACGGAAGUGCACCCGAAACUACCCAGCUCGAGUCUCGGAGAGGAAGGUGGAAUGCUUGGUGUAGAGGUGAAAUUCGUAGAUAUCAAGCGGAACACCGGUGGCGAAGGCGGCCUUCUGGACGAUGACUGACGCUGAGACGCGAAAGCGUGGGGAGCAAACAGG